RNAcentral lists this unclassified non-coding RNA (240 nucleotides) under soil metagenome. RNAcentral's name for it is "partial contains 5.8S ribosomal RNA, internal transcribed spacer 2, and large subunit ribosomal RNA". The record is from RNAcentral.
AACCAUAGAAACCUGCGGAGUACCUGCGGAGGGAUCAUUAUAGUAUAUGGAAUCUCCAUUCUAUAAACCCACUCUGCGCAUCUUGUAACUGUUGCUUCCAUGGGACUUGGUUCCGCCACACCGGCUUCACGGCUGGUGAGCGCCCAUGGAAGGAGAAACAAAACUCUUCUUUGAAAUGUAGUCAGUCUGAACAAGUUUUUAUAAACGUUAAAACUUUUAACAAUGGAUCUCAGAUCGGAA